GACGAACGCUGGCGGCGUGCUUAACACAUGCAAGUCGAACGGAAAGGCCCUGCUUUUGUGGGGUGCUCGGGUGGCGAACGGGUGAGUAACACGUGAGUAACCUGCCCUUGACUUUGGGAUAACUUCAGGAAACUGGGGCUAAUACCGGAUAGGAUCUCCUGCUGCAUGGUGGGGGUUGGAAAGUUUCGGCGGUUGGGGAUGGACUCGCGGCUUAUCAGCUUGUUGGUGGGGUAGUGGCUUACCAAGGCUUUGACGGGUAGCCGGCCUGAGAGGGUGACCGGACACAUUGGGACUGAGAUACGGCCCAGACUCCUACGGGAGGCAGCAGUGGGGAAUAUUGCACAAUGGGCGGAAGCCUGAUGCAGCAACGCCGCGUGCGGGAUGACGGCCUUCGGGUUGUAAACCGCUUUCGCCUGUGACGAAGCGUGAGUGACGGUAAUGGGUAAAGAAGCACCGGCUAACUACGUG
This 468-nucleotide ribosomal RNA is filed under the name uncultured bacterium. RNAcentral describes it as "partial 16S ribosomal RNA". It matches the Rfam family "Bacterial small subunit ribosomal RNA", at positions 28 to 507 of the family's 1533-position model. The record is from RNAcentral.